GCCCGCUCAGAAACUCAAAGGAAUUGACGGGGGCCCGCACAAGCGGUGGAGCAUGUGGUUUAAUUCGAUGAUACGCGAGGAACCUUACCUGGGCUCAAAUGUAUGUUGACGUAUUCUGAAAGGGAUACUUCUUCGGACAAUAUACAAGGUGCUGCAUGGUUGUCGUCAGCUCGUGCCGUGAGGUGUCGGGUUAAGUCCCAUAACGAGCGCAACCCCUAUCAUUAGUUGCCAUCAGGUCAAGCUGGGGACUCUAAUGAAACUGCCUACGCAAGUAGUGAGGAAGGUGGGGAUGACGUCAAAUCAGCACGGCCCUUACGUCCAGGGCUACACACGUGCUACAAUGGCCGAUACAGAGGGCAGCUACCUGGUGACAGGAUGCAAAUCUCCAAAGUCGGUCUCAGUUCGGAUCGGAGUCUGCAACCCGACUCCGUGAAGUUGGAUUCGCUAGUAAUCGCGCAUCAGCCAUGGCGCGGUGAAUACGUUCCCGGGCCUU
Molecule: ribosomal RNA, 493 nt
Filed under: uncultured Sphingobacteriales bacterium
Lineage: Bacteria; Pseudomonadati; Bacteroidota; Sphingobacteriia; Sphingobacteriales
Description: bacterial SSU rRNA
Rfam family: Bacterial small subunit ribosomal RNA
Source: RNAcentral